This 73-nucleotide transfer RNA is filed under the name Raphidocelis subcapitata. RNAcentral's name for it is "tRNA-Val". It matches the Rfam family "tRNA". Rfam says of the family: Transfer RNA (tRNA) molecules are approximately 80 nucleotides in length. Their secondary structure includes four short double-helical elements and three loops (D, anti-codon, and T loops). The record is from RNAcentral. Lineage: Eukaryota; Viridiplantae; Chlorophyta; Chlorophyceae; Sphaeropleales; Selenastraceae.
GGGUGUAUAGCGCAAUUGGUAGAGCGACGACCUUACAAGCCGUAGGUUGCAGGUUCGAGUCCUGCUACACCCA